AGAGUUUGAUCCUGGCUCAGGACGAACGCUGGCGGCGUGCCUAAUACAUGCAAGUAGAACGCUGAAGAGAGGAGCUUGCUCUUCUUGGAUGAGUUGCGAACGGGUGAGUAACGCGUAGGUAACCUGCCUGGUAGCGGGGGAUAACUAUUGGAAACGAUAGCUAAUACCGCAUGACAUUGAUUAUCGCAUGAUAAUUGAUUGAAAGAUGCAAUUGCAUCACUACCAGAUGGACCUGCGUUGUAUUAGCUAGUUGGUGAGGUAACGGCUCACCAAGGCGACGAUACAUAGCCGACCUGAGAGGGUGAUCGGCCACACUGGGACUGAGACACGGCCCAGACUCCUACGGGAGGCAGCAGUAGGGAAUCUUCGGCAAUGGGGGGAACCCUGACCGAGCAACGCCGCGUGAGUGAAGAAGGUUUUCGGAUCGUAAAGCUCUGUUGUAAGAGAAGAACGGGUGUGAGAGUGGAAAGUUCACACUGUGACGGUAUCUUACCAGAAAGGGACGGCUAACUACGUGCCAGCAGCCGCGGUAAUACGUAGGUCCCGAGCGUUGUCCGGAUUUAUUGGGCGUAAAGCGAGCGCAGGCGGUUAGAUAAGUCUGAAGUUAAAGGCUGUGGCUUAACCAUAGUAUGCUUUGGAAACUGUUUAACUUGAGUGCAGAAGGGGAGAGUGGAAUUCCAUGUGUAGCGGUGAAAUGCGUAGAUAUAUGGAGGAACACCGGUGGCGAAAGCGGCUCUCUGGUCUGUAACUGACGCUGAGGCUCGAAAGCGUGGGGAGCAAACAGGAUUAGAUACCCUGGUAGUCCACGCCGUAAACGAUGAGUGCUAGGUGUUAGGCCCUUUCCGGGGCUUAGUGCCGCAGCUAACGCAUUAAGCACUCCGCCUGGGGAGUACGACCGCAAGGUUGAA
RNAcentral lists this ribosomal RNA (908 nucleotides) under uncultured bacterium. Its description in RNAcentral is "bacterial SSU rRNA". It matches the Rfam family "Bacterial small subunit ribosomal RNA", at positions 8 to 898 of the family's 1533-position model. The record is from RNAcentral.